UACGGAGGGUGCAAGCGUUAAUCGGAAUUACUGGGCGUAAAGCGCACGCAGGCGGUUGGAUGAGUUAGAUGUGAAAGCCCCGGGCUCAACCUGGGAAUUGCAUUUAAAACUGUCCAGCUAGAGUCUUGUAGAGGGGGGUAGAAUUCCAGGUGUAGCGGUGAAAUGCGUAGAGAUCUGGAGGAAUACCGGUGGCGAAGGCGGCCCCCUGGACAAAGACUGACGCUCGGGUGCGAAAGCGUGGGGAGCAAACAGG
Molecule: ribosomal RNA, 253 nt
Filed under: uncultured bacterium
Lineage: Bacteria
Description: partial 16S ribosomal RNA
Rfam family: Bacterial small subunit ribosomal RNA
Source: RNAcentral